UACAGAGGGUGCGAGCGUUAAUCGGAAUUACUGGGCGUAAAGGGCGCGUAGGUGGUUUAUUAAGAUUGAUGUGAAAUCCCUGGGCUUAACCUAGGAACUGCAUCGAUGACUGAUAGGCUAGAGUACUGUAGAGGGUAGUGGAAUUUCCGGUGUAGCGGUGAAAUGCGUAGAGAUCGGAAGGAACACCAGUGGCGAAGGCGGCUACCUGGACAGAUACUGACACUGAGGCGCGAGAGCGUGGGGAGCAAACAGG
Molecule: ribosomal RNA, 253 nt
Filed under: uncultured bacterium
Lineage: Bacteria
Description: partial 16S ribosomal RNA
Rfam family: Bacterial small subunit ribosomal RNA
Source: RNAcentral